UCUUGGUCAUUUAGAGGAAGUAAAAGUCGUAACAAGGUUUCCGUAGGUGAACCUGCGGAAGGAUCAUUAAAAUUAAAUUACCACAAUGUUUUUGAAACAACACCAAAUUAAUUUUCUUUUUUCAAUCGUUUUUAUAAUAAAAACUUUCAACAACGGAUCUCUUGGUUCUCGCAUCGAUGAAGAACGCAGCGAAUUGCGAUACGUAAUAUGACUUGCAGACGUGAAUCAUUGAAUCUUUGAACGCACAUUGCGCCUUGAGGUAUUCCUCAAGGCAUGCCUGUUUGAGCGUCGGCUCCUUUCAAACCCUAGGGUUUGGCUUUGCCUCCGAAAUAUUAGGAUCUAAUGCAAUACGUUUCAUUAAUCCAAAUUCUUCGCCCUCAAAUCAGGUAAGACUACCCGCUGAACUUAAGCAUAUCAAUAAGCGGAGGAA
This 430-nucleotide ribosomal RNA is filed under the name [Candida] sp. 2 TMS-2011. RNAcentral describes it as "eukaryotic LSU rRNA". The stretch from base 142 to 291 matches the Rfam family "5.8S ribosomal RNA". Lineage: Eukaryota; Fungi; Ascomycota; Saccharomycetes; Saccharomycetales. The record is from RNAcentral.